This 479-nucleotide ribosomal RNA is filed under the name uncultured soil bacterium. RNAcentral's name for it is "bacterial SSU rRNA". It matches the Rfam family "Bacterial small subunit ribosomal RNA", at positions 26 to 505 of the family's 1533-position model. The record is from RNAcentral.
AGAUUGAACGCUGGCGGCAGGCCUAACACAUGCAAGUCGAGCGGCAGCACGGGUACUUGUAUCUGGUGGCGAGCGGCGGACGGGUGAGUAAUGCCUAGGAAUCUGCCUGGUAGUGGGGGAUAACGCUCGGAAACGGACGCUAAUACCGCAUACGUCCUACGGGAGAAAGCAGGGGACCUUCGGGCCUUGCGCUAUCAGAUGAGCCUAGGUCGGAUUAGCUAGUUGGUGGGUAAUGGCUCACCAAGGCGACGAUCCGUAACUGGUCUGAGAGGAUGAUCAGUCACACUGGAACUGAGACACGGUCCAGACUCCUACGGGAGGCAGCAGUGGGGAAUAUUGGACAAUGGGCGAAAGCCUGAUCCAGCCAUGCCGCGUGUGUGAAGAAGGUCUUCGGAUUGUAAAGCAACUUUAAGUUGGAGAAGGCAGUUACCUAAUACGUAUCUGUUUGACGUUACGACAGAAUAAGCACGCUAACUCUG